RNAcentral lists this transfer RNA (77 nucleotides) under Nitrospirota bacterium. RNAcentral describes it as "Nitrospirae bacterium (groundwater metagenome) tRNA-Arg". It matches the Rfam family "tRNA". Rfam says of the family: Transfer RNA (tRNA) molecules are approximately 80 nucleotides in length. Their secondary structure includes four short double-helical elements and three loops (D, anti-codon, and T loops). The record is from RNAcentral. Lineage: Bacteria; Pseudomonadati; Nitrospirota.
GCGCCCGUAGCUCAGGUGGAUAGAGCAACAGCCUUCUAAGCUGUGGGUCGGAGGUUCGAGUCCUCCCGGGCGUGCCA